This 540-nucleotide ribosomal RNA is filed under the name uncultured bacterium. RNAcentral's name for it is "partial 16S ribosomal RNA". It matches the Rfam family "Bacterial small subunit ribosomal RNA", at positions 355 to 889 of the family's 1533-position model. The record is from RNAcentral.
UGGGGAAUUUUGGACAAUGGGCGAAAGCCUGAUCCAGCAAUGCCGCGUGUGUGAAGAAGGCCUUCGGGUUGUAAAGCACUUUUGUCCGGAAAGAAAUCCUUGGCUCUAAUACAGUCGGGGGAUGACGGUACCGGAAGAAUAAGCACCGGCUAACUACGUGCCAGCAGCCGCGGUAAUACGUAGGGUGCAAGCGUUAAUCGGAAUUACUGGGCGUAAAGCGUGCGCAGGCGGUUUGCUAAGACCGAUGUGAAAUCCCCGGGCUCAACCUGGGAACUGCAUUGGUGACUGGCAGGCUAGAGUAUGGCAGAGGGGGGUAGAAUUCCACGUGUAGCAGUGAAAUGCGUAGAGAUGUGGAGGAAUACCGAUGGCGAGGGCAGCCCCCUGGGCCAAUACUGACGCUCAUGCACGAAAGCGUGGGGAGCAAACAGGAUUAGAUACCCUGGUAGUCCACGCCCUAAACGAUGUCAACUAGUUGUUGGGGAUUCAUUCCUUAGUAACGUAGCUAACGCGUGAAGUUGACCGCCUGGGGAGUACGGUCGC